ACUCAGCCUCUUCCCUGUGCCCUGGAAGCCCAAAUCCAUCCCUUCGACUUCCAGAAAAGCUUUUCCAGGGCCAGCACAAUAGGCCUCAAAACAUUGAGGUUCUUCAGCAGUCGCAUGCUGGGAUGAGAACCCACAGAGAGCAGCCCUGAACCUAACCCUCAGCCUGGAACCAAGCACUACAGAGGAUGAUCUGCAGCUUGUAACUUAACUACAGAAAGCAUGAAGCUUAGCGGUUCGGUUAGC
Molecule: long non-coding RNA, 243 nt
Organism: Mastomys coucha (southern multimammate mouse)
Lineage: Eukaryota; Metazoa; Chordata; Mammalia; Rodentia; Muridae
Exons: 2
Source: RefSeq, a predicted model, not a curated record